This 251-nucleotide ribosomal RNA is filed under the name uncultured bacterium. Its description in RNAcentral is "partial 16S ribosomal RNA". It matches the Rfam family "Bacterial small subunit ribosomal RNA", at positions 57 to 305 of the family's 1533-position model. The record is from RNAcentral.
GCAAGUCGAGGGGUAACAGGGAUUGCUUGCAAUCCGCUGACGACCGGCGCACGGGUGCGUAACGCGUAUACAAUCUGCCUUUUGCUGGGGGAUAGCCUUUAGAAAUGAAGAUUAACACCCCAUAGUAUGUAAUAUUCGCAUGGAUAUUACAUUAAAGGUUACGGCAAAAGAUGAGUAUGCGUUCUAUUAGCUAGAUGGUGUGGUAACGGCACACCAUGGCCACGAUAGAUAGGGGCCCUGAGAGGGGGAUC